CCUACGGGAGGCAGCAGUGGGGAAUUUUGGACAAUGGGCGCAAGCCUGAUCCAGCCAUGCCGCGUGAGUGAAGAAGGCCUUCGGGUUGUAAAGCUCUUUCGGUCAGGAACGAAAUGGUUCGUGUUAAUACCACGGACUGAUGACGGUACCUGAAGAAGAAGCACCGGCUAACUACGUGCCAGCAGCCGCGGUAAUACGUAGGGUGCAGGCGUUAAUCGGAAUUACUGGGCGUAAAGCGUGCGCAGGCGGUUUCUUAAGUCAGAUGUGAAAGCCCCGGGCUUAACCUGGGAACUGCGUUUGAAACUGGGAGACUUGAGUGUGGCAGAGGGGGGUGGAAUUCCACGUGUAGCAGUGAAAUGCGUAGAUAUGUGGAGGAACACCGAUGGCGAAGGCAGCCCCCUGGGUUAACACUGACGCUCAUGCACGAAAGCGUGGGGAGCAAACAGGAUUAGAUACCCUGGUAGUCCACGCCCUAAACUAUGUCAACUGGUUGUCGGGGGAUUGAUUCCCUUGGUAACGAAGCUAACGCGUGAAGUUGACCGCCUGGGGAGUACGGCCGCAAGGUUAAAACCUCAAAGGAAUUGACGG
RNAcentral lists this ribosomal RNA (588 nucleotides) under uncultured bacterium. RNAcentral's name for it is "bacterial SSU rRNA". It matches the Rfam family "Bacterial small subunit ribosomal RNA", at positions 338 to 916 of the family's 1533-position model. The record is from RNAcentral.